Molecule: ribosomal RNA, 520 nt
Filed under: uncultured Archaeospora
Lineage: Eukaryota; Fungi; Glomeromycota; Glomeromycetes; Archaeosporales; Archaeosporaceae
Description: SSU rRNA
Rfam family: Eukaryotic small subunit ribosomal RNA
Source: RNAcentral
AGCAGCCGCGGUAAUUCCAGCUCCAAUAGCGUAUAUUAAAGUUGUUGCAGUUAAAAAGCUCGUAGUUGAAUUUUAGACUUGGCCGGGCGGUCCGUCUUUGGCGAGUACUGUUCUGUUGUCGGGUCUUCCUUCUGGUGAACCAGUAUGUCCUUAAUUGGGUGUGUUGGGGAGCCAGGACCAUUACCUUGAAAAAUUAGAGUGUUUAAAGCGGGCUAUUGCUUGAAUAGAUUAGCAUGGAAUAAUAGAAUAGGACGUUGUGGUUCUAUUUUGUUGGUUUCUAGGACCACCGUAAUGAUUAAUAGGGAUAGUUGGGGGCAUUAGUAUUCAAUUGUCAGAGGUGAAAUUCUUGGAUUUAUUGAAGACUAACUAUUGCGAAAGCAUUUGCCAAGGAUGUUUUCAUUAAUCAAGAACGAAAGUUAGGGGAUCGAAGACGAUCAGAUACCGUCGUAGUCUUAACCAUAAACUAUGCCGACUAGGAAUCGGGCGACGUUAUUUUCACGACUCGCUCGGCGCCUUAUGG